CUGUCAGAUUUGCUCUAAAUGCUUUCGUUUUUGAGAUAUAAGCCAAAAACUGCAUUUGACCCCUAUGUUCUAUUUUAAGUAACGGCGGCCAUGUUUUUUGACGGAUCAAAAAUCAAAGCACACACUUUGUGCAGGAUAAUCUAAGGAACAAUCAUGCUAAGUUUUAACCAAAUCCAUUCAGUAGUUUCAGAGGAGAAGAUUUUUUAAAGUUAGCAAAUAUGAUGAACAAAUUGUGAAAAAUUGUCAUUAAAGGACAAUAACCC
Molecule: long non-coding RNA, 263 nt
Filed under: Mytilus galloprovincialis (Mediterranean mussel)
Lineage: Eukaryota; Metazoa; Mollusca; Bivalvia; Mytilida; Mytilidae
Source: RNAcentral